This is a long non-coding RNA of Astatotilapia calliptera (eastern happy), 1151 nucleotides long. Lineage: Eukaryota; Metazoa; Chordata; Actinopteri; Cichliformes; Cichlidae. The record is from Ensembl.
UCCGGCUACUUUAUGAAGCCAUUUUCUUAGUGCUUUUGAACUAACACAAAGCAGACCAUGAAUCGAGAACUCAGCAUAAACACAGCUGGUGUUUGACACAGCUGCUCUAACAUCAAGGAGUCAAGUUAAAAGAAUUGAAAAGUCUGAGAAGAGCUAUAACAAUAAUAAUAUUUCUGUUUUUGUGAAUGAUGUUUUGAUCUAAAAAAACAAAACAAAACAAAUCUACAAGACUGUACCUUGAGUUCCACAAUCUGCUGCUUGACGGUUUCCAGAUCCGUGCCCACAGGUGACAUUGAAUCCAGCUUGCUCUCCAGAAUAUCCACCCAGUCAAACAUACCCUGCAUACAGCGUUGGAAACCAUUGUUAGUGAGAGAACAAAGCUGGGUGCACAGGGUGUCAAGUUUCAAACUGAGUUUAAAGUUAUGCCCUGAAUCUUACAGUUGGUCUGUUUGGCUGAUAAAUUAGAAAAUUAUACACAAAGAAAAUGAAAAAAAAAACCCAAACAAGCCCUGAGGUUACAUGCCAAUGUGCUGAAGAAGUGCAAAGAGGAGAUUUAAACUUGUGUAAAAGAAUCCUUCCUCACCGUGAAACUUUCUUACACACUAGUUAAUGUUUGAGCCAAAUAUAUCACGACCACGCUCUGGCUGGUGUUUCAAAAUCAGUAGAGCUCUCAUGAGAUGUUAUAUCAACUGUUAGAUCAACUGCAUGGUAAUAUGUGGUUUCAUCAAAAGGCCUCGGAAACUCCCUGGCUCACUGUAUCUGUUAAAUAUCAAACAUCUUGUGAUGAACAAGUGCUUGUAUAUUGUGUAGCUUGAUAUUAAGUAUUUAGCCCUUAAAGAUGACAUUCCCUCUUAAUCUGACACCUCUAUAUAUAUAUAUUAAUAAAGAUGUGGUUUGAUGACCCUUAGAACAGUUUCCAGGUUUUUCCAAGGAUAGCUACACAGGCAGAGACAACCCUUAUUAACUUGCAUGCUCAGUGUUUUGUUCUAUAAGCAGGCCUGAUAUAUGAGAGAAACCCCACGUCAAUAAAAUAGCUUCAAGGGUUACUCCUAGGCUUCCAAAAGAUCACAUCAAAUAAAGUUAAAAACCACGAGAACCGUGACUGGGAAGUUUUGGAAAAGGUCUGCUGUUUCAAAACUUUUUAAAUAUUC